Molecule: transfer RNA, 85 nt
Filed under: Opitutaceae bacterium
Lineage: Bacteria; Pseudomonadati; Verrucomicrobiota; Opitutia; Opitutales; Opitutaceae
Description: tRNA-Leu
Rfam family: tRNA
About the family: Transfer RNA (tRNA) molecules are approximately 80 nucleotides in length. Their secondary structure includes four short double-helical elements and three loops (D, anti-codon, and T loops).
Source: RNAcentral
GCUCAGGUGGUGGAAUUGGUAGACACGCACGCUUGAGGGGCGUGUGCCGAAAGGUGUGAGGGUUCGAGUCCCUUCCUGAGCACCA